RNAcentral lists this ribosomal RNA (485 nucleotides) under uncultured bacterium. RNAcentral's name for it is "bacterial SSU rRNA". It matches the Rfam family "Bacterial small subunit ribosomal RNA", at positions 61 to 507 of the family's 1533-position model. The record is from RNAcentral.
GUCGAACGCACUCUCGUUUAGAUUGAAGGAGCUUGCUCCUGAUUGAUAACAUUUGAGUGAGUGGCGGACGGGUGAGUAACACGUGGGUAACCUGCCCUAAAGUGGGGAUAACAUUUGGAAACAGAUGCUAAUACCGCAAUAAACCCAACACCGCAUGGUGUAGGGUUGAAAGAUGGUUUCGGCUAUCACUUUAGGAUGGACCCGCGGUGCAUUAGUUAGUUGGUGAGGUAAAGGCUCACCAAGACCGUGAUGCAUAGCCGACCUGAGAGGGUAAUCGGCCACACUGGGACUGAGACACGGCCCAGACUCCUACGGGAGGCAGCAGUAGGGAAUCUUCCACAAUGGACGAAAGUCUGAUGGAGCAACGCCGCGUGGGUGAGGAAGGUUUUCGGAUCGUAAAACUCUGUUGUUGGAGAAGAAUGUAUCUGAUAGUAACUGAUCAGGUAGUGACGGUAUCCAACCAGAAAGCCACGGCUAACUACGUG